Molecule: long non-coding RNA, 1432 nt
Organism: Tigriopus californicus
Lineage: Eukaryota; Metazoa; Arthropoda; Copepoda; Harpacticoida; Harpacticidae
Exons: 4
Source: RefSeq, a predicted model, not a curated record
GCAAUGUGAGACGAAAAUAAAACCUCGAAGAAAGGAGUCGUUCUUUUGCAUGAUGUUUGGAACUUAUCAUCUAGAAAUAUCAAAGUGUCGAUAACACGUAUCCUCUCUCUGGACGAAGAGUGGUCUUGUUUGCACUCGUGAUUGUCAUGUGGCAAGCCUUUUGCCCAAGCUCCGAGAGAGGAUUUCGUGUUGGUAAAACAUUAGAAGACAAUAUCGUCUUCUCCCUUCUUUGAAGCAAUGGCCCAUGUUUUAUUGCACGUUCCUUUUCCGAAUGAGGCAACCAGAGCACCCACCAGCCAGUUGUAGAGUCCCUUCAGCUCCAGAACGGCCGAACCUCUGCCAAGAACCAACGCAGCCCCUUUUCCAACCAACUCAUGGGAGGAGGGGAAAGAGAGUGAUAAGGAUAAGGCCAUGCACACUGAGCAAACACAUUCAUAUAGUAUAGCGCCUUUCUUGAGGGCCCAAGGCCGCCAACCCCACAAUUCUCGCUGCCCAAUGCAAACACGAAUGAGUGAACCAGUGUGUCAAGGUCGAGUUGAUGAUCCGAACGAGACAGAGGGAGAAAGAGCAUCAAGACAACCAACCACAACAGGAUCGAGGUGAUGAGGACCGAUAGAGGGGCCACUGAAAUGCUUCCGGAGUGCCAACGCGCUUUAUGCUGCCUUCCAAGGGGUGCUUAGGUUUGGUUAGGGAUGAUGAAGAGCUAGCACCCCUCCCCUCACAUGGCGAAUACGCUCACCUUACUAGUAUGCCAAACCGGAUUCGGAUCCAUGGAGAUCGAGUUGUGGUAUUCCAUCAAAGACAAUAUGGCAUUAUUUAUCGACUGUUCUGUUACAAAGCUUUACCUACGUUUGUAGCUCUCUUCCUUUUUUGGACCUUGACUACAAUCCAAUGUACUUUAUCCUCCAAUCAGUGGAGAGAAGCGUCAAGAGCUCAAUGACCUUUCGUUAUGAGCCAAAUCGGUGUCUGUAAGGUCACGAUGCUCUGCUGAGUUCAAAUAUCAGAAAAAUUUGAGAAAAGAAGUGCCGAUCAUAUGCGCAUCGUCAUUAUCCGAUAUUGAACUAUCCGUUUUCUCCCAUGACGCAUCAUCGGAAAAUCACCGUAAAACGAAAACGAACUUGCUCGUGAAAAUCCUUGAAUAAUCAAAUGAUGAGGCAUAACCUAAAGGUGAUGUGCAGGUUGUCAAGACUUCAAUGUAGGAUUUUUGAGACAUCACAUCGCUUCCAAUGUUGCAAUUAUGCCGACAGAAUGAUUAAAUGCUCUCUAGCCGAAUAGAAUGGGAUGCGCAUACCAAAUCAACUGAACUGCUUACAUCAACGAUUCUAGAGAGCUAUGGCCUGAAGGAAAAUGACAUCAUUUAAUUUGCCAUUUGUCGGAGCUUCAAUAUUCCUUGAAAUGCAGUUCAAUGCAAAAUCGAGAAGUAGUUGUGAAG